Molecule: long non-coding RNA, 702 nt
Filed under: Chinchilla lanigera (long-tailed chinchilla)
Lineage: Eukaryota; Metazoa; Chordata; Mammalia; Rodentia; Chinchillidae
Description: lncRNA (ENSCLAG00000028574.1)
Source: RNAcentral
GUCUUACCUAGGUAGUCUCUGAGGUAGAGCACACAAUUCCCUGGUGGAAUUUUGUCUCCUACAGCAGUAGGAAUUCAUGAAGUUCUUAUUUAUUCACAGGUAGUGAGUGUGCAUAUGGCAACUACCAUGAAAUAUCUUUGGAAGGAAUGCCAGAUGCAGAUGGAGUAGCCAGCACUCCCUCCCUCAAUGUUCAGGAGCCAUGCUCUCCAGCCAUAUCCAGUGAAGCAUUUACUCCAAAGGAGAGCUCUCCUUACAAAGUUCCCAUCUACAUCCCUGAUGACAUCCCCAUUCCAGCUGAGUUUGAACUUCGAGAGUCAAAUAUGCCCGGAGCAGGACUAGGAAUAUGGACCAAAAGGAAGAUUGAAGUAGGUGAAAAGUUUGGACCUUAUGUGGGAGAGCAGAGGUCAAACCUGAAAGACCCCAGUCAUGGAUGGGAGCUUUAGAGGCAAAAUUCAAAGAGCAGAAAAAAGAAUGAUCUAACGGCAGCAGCACAGAGAACUGGAGUCCACAGCCUUUCUUCAUCACUGCACAGUGUCUUCCAAGGUGAGAGCACACAGGGGGCUCAGGACGGCCAAUAAAUGCUGGGCAGAGAACUGUUUUUCUCUUAAAAGACAGAAAUGGGAAUAGAAUAUCUCCUGUAAACAUUCUUGGAUCUCUGAAUUUUUAUGGGUUAUAUCACAGUCUGAGCUAUAGAAGUUAAAG